AUGCAUGAGUUAACUAAGGAAAACAUUGAGCGUAUGAAUGCUAAAUAUAAACUUGCUGGAGAUAAGGGUAGAAAACAUGUUGUGUUUGCACCUGGAGAUCUUGUUUGGUUACAUUUGCGUAAGGAUAGAUUUCCUGAUUUGCGCAAAUCAAAGCUAAUGCCACGUGCUGAUGGUCCUUUUAAGGUGUUAGAGAAAAUAAAUGAUAAUGCAUAUAAACUUGAGCUGCCUGCAGAUUUUGGGGUUAGUCCCACUUUUAAUAUUGUAGAUUUGAAGCCUUAUUUGGGUGAGGAAGAUGAGCUUCCGUCGAGGACGACUUCAUUUCAAGAAGGGGAGGAUGAUGAGGACAUCAAUACAAUUAUUACACCCACAGGCCCUGCUGCUAUACAUACUGGACCAAUUACUAGAGCUCGCGCACGCCAAUUAAAUUACCAGGAAACAGACCCUCGUGGUCAGGUUGAUCGUGCUCCGGCGUGGUCGAUAACCUCUCGGAGUUGGUUUAGCGAUUGCUAA
This 510-nucleotide ribosomal RNA is filed under the name Triticum aestivum (bread wheat). RNAcentral describes it as "partial small subunit ribosomal RNA". The record is from RNAcentral. Lineage: Eukaryota; Viridiplantae; Streptophyta; Magnoliopsida; Poales; Poaceae.